Cyprinodon variegatus (sheepshead minnow) is the source of this 1535-nucleotide RNA transcript. It is a transcript of the gene named MOB kinase activator 3C, with no coding region annotated. The record is from RefSeq and is a predicted model, not a curated record. The transcript has 4 exons. Lineage: Eukaryota; Metazoa; Chordata; Actinopteri; Cyprinodontiformes; Cyprinodontidae.
GGUUAUGGGUUGAGAAACCUCUUCUUUUCAACUUAAUACGUUCUCUACAAACACACCCGCAUGUGGACACACAAAACAGAUAACAGAGCCCAGCACACAAAGUCAGGAUGUGACAUCAUUCACAGGAAGAGAAACCAAACACUUUUUUAACUCUUUUCUACGUUGUCCACACUGCUGAGCAAAGUCAAAGCCCUUCUCGGACUGCUGAUCGACCAUCAGAGUGGAAAAGAUUCAGAAGAGAGGGAACAGCUGACUCUGACUCUCACAGCGAGUUUAAUCCUCUCUGAACCUUCAACAGCUUUCCACUACAUUCCAGCCACCCGCUGUAGGAUUUCAGUGAGAAAAGUCAGAUCUGGAAACAAGGGCUCCCAGAAAUCUUCACAUGACAGACACUGAGACCUGCUGACCUGAUUUCACCCAGGCUGUUCCCUCUAAUUCGCUCAGGAAGCUCAGUUUUAUCAAACUCCGACUUAUUCUUCAUUGUGGAGACCCUAAUCUCCCCUUAUCUUGGGGGAAGCGGCUGAGUCAAUGGCGUUGUGUCUUGGACAAGUGUUCAGCAAAGCCAAAACAUUCAGGCCAAGGAAGCGCUUUGAGCCUGGCACUCAGCGCUUCGAACUCUACAAGAAGGCCCAGGCCUCUCUCAAGUCAGGCCUGGACCUGAAGAAGGUGGUCCAGCUGCCCGAGGGGGAGAACCUCAAUGACUGGAUUGCAGUUCACGUGGUGGAUUUCUUUAACAGGAUUAACCUGAUCUACGGCACAGUCAGCGAAUAUUGCAGCGAGCGCACAUGCCCUAUCAUGUCUGGGGGUCUGAAGUACGAGUACAGAUGGCAGGAUGGCGACGACUACAGGAAACCCACCAAGCUGCCUGCUAUCAAGUAUAUGAACCUGCUGAUGGACUGGAUAGAGUCCCUCAUCAACAAUGAAGACAUCUUCCCCACCAGAGUGUGCCUUUUCCAAAGAACUUCCAGCAGGUGUGCAAGAAGAUCCUGAGCCGUCUCUUCAGAGUCUUUGUGCACGUUUACAUCCAUCACUUUGACAGCAUCUGCAGCAUGGGUGCCGAGGCCCACAUCAAUACCUGCUACAAACACUACUACUACUUCAUCUCAGAGUUCAGUCUCAUUGAUAACUCGGAGCUGGAACCACUGAGAGAGAUGACUGAGAGAAUUUGCACUUAAUGAGAAAAACAUGGAUAUAGAAGUUUACAUUAUGACGUAAUCUGAGCCCCAGGAGAGAACACCAUCUGUAAAACAUUCCAGACUUUGGACAUUAUCAUGGAUUUCAAAGCAUGCUGUUGGAGGUCAUUCAACUUUCCACUAUCCUCUGGAUGGUGGCGCUGUAUCUUCUAAACUGCACACUUUUUGUGGUGCUACAUCUUUAUACUUCUCUGUGUCGGCCUCUGUGAAAAUGCUGCUUUUUUUCUUUUCUUUUCUACUUGUAUUUUAUGUGAUUUUGCUUCUUAUCUGUUUUUAUGUGCUGUGCCUAACAUAUAACGUUUUGGUUAUAAAUGGUUUUUCAUUAAACUCAUCACAAAAUGU